CCUACGGGAGGCAGCAGUGGGGAAUAUUGGACAAUGGGGGCAACCCUGAUCCAGCCAUGCCGCGUGUGUGAAGAAGGCCCUCGGGUUGUAAAGCACUUUCAGUGAGGAAGAACGCCUGGUGGUUAAUACCCAUCAGGAAAGACAUCACUCACAGAAGAAGCACCGGCUAACUCCGUGCCAGCAGCCGCGGUAAUACGGAGGGUGCGAGCGUUAAUCGGAAUUACUGGGCGUAAAGCGCGCGUAGGUGGCUUGAUAAGCCGGUUGUGAAAGCCCCGGGCUCAACCUGGGAACGGCAUCCGGAACUGUCAAGCUAGAGUGCAGGAGAGGAAGGUAGAAUUCCCGGUGUAGCGGUGAAAUGCGUAGAGAUCGGGAGGAACACCAGUGGCGAAGGCGGCCUUCUGGACUGACACUGACACUGAGGUGCGAAAGCGUGGGUAGCAAACAGGAUUAGAUACCCUUGUAGUC
RNAcentral lists this ribosomal RNA (465 nucleotides) under Vreelandella stevensii. Its description in RNAcentral is "partial 16S ribosomal RNA". It matches the Rfam family "Bacterial small subunit ribosomal RNA", at positions 338 to 795 of the family's 1533-position model. The record is from RNAcentral. Lineage: Bacteria; Pseudomonadati; Pseudomonadota; Gammaproteobacteria; Oceanospirillales; Halomonadaceae.